Molecule: long non-coding RNA, 616 nt
Organism: Mangifera indica (mango)
Lineage: Eukaryota; Viridiplantae; Streptophyta; Magnoliopsida; Sapindales; Anacardiaceae
Exons: 3
Source: RefSeq, a predicted model, not a curated record
GCACCAAUCUCCACAACGUCCAAAACCGAACUCCCGUAUAUCAACAAACAACUCCAAACCCACAAAUCAAUUCAAGCAAACUUUAAUCCACAACCAAACAAAGCAAAAAACCAAACAAAGAGAGCCAGAAAACCAGACUUUACCGCACGCAAAUGGAGCAGGGAAAAUGAAGACAAUGGUGGAGGAUGGAAGGAUGGUGGUCGGACGACAGAAAUGCUGACCGAAGGAGCUGCGACAAUUGUGAAAGGUCACCUGACAAAGAAUAGAGGAUUCCAUUUAUGCCUUGAAACUUUGCCUGGAUUGGAGGAUGUGGCCUGUAGUGCUUUUGUGUGUCAAAACUAAAAGGUCAUAUUCACGUGUAGAACCGAAAGUUAUCCGCAGACAAUCAGACUUUGUGAUAAACACUCACAUUACACAAUGUUCAUUUGUCCAUGGUGGAAGAGGAAAGUUCAGAGUCUGAUUCUUUUUUGAAGAGAGAUGACAUAGUAGAUAAACAACUUAUCGGUUUUCCAUGACAAUCAAUGAGGAAUAUAUGUUACCUUAUCACUAUAUGGAUAAGAGUAAGUGCUUCGCGUAGGUGUAUAAGAGCAUCUUAUGUCAUAGACUUUCAAGUUAU